Molecule: ribosomal RNA, 433 nt
Filed under: uncultured Clostridium sp.
Lineage: Bacteria; Bacillati; Bacillota; Clostridia; Eubacteriales; Clostridiaceae
Description: partial 16S ribosomal RNA
Rfam family: Bacterial small subunit ribosomal RNA
Source: RNAcentral
ACGGGAGGCAGCAGUGGGGAAUAUUGGACAAUGGGGGAAACCCUGAUCCAGCGACGCCGCGUGAGUGAAGAAGUAUUUCGGUAUGUAAAGCUCUAUCAGCAGGGAAGAUAAUGACGGUACCUGACUAAGAAGCCCCGGCUAACUACGUGCCAGCAGCCGCGGUAAUACGUAGGGGCAAGCGUUAUCCGGAUUUACUGGGUGUAAAGGGAGCGUAGACGGCGAAGCAAGUCUGAAGUGAAAGCCCACGGCUCAACCGUGGAACUGCUUUGGAAACUGUUUUGCUAGAGUGCAGGAGGGGCAGGCGGAAUUCCUAGUGUAGCGGUGAAAUGCGUAGAUAUUAGGAGGAACACCGGUGGCGAAGGCGGCCUGCUGGACUGUAACUGACGUUGAGGCUCGAAAGCGUGGGGAGCAAACAGGAUUAGAUACCCUGGUA